GAAGGAAGGAUUCUUUCCUGUUAACAGAAUACUAUCUCUUGUUGAUGGAAAAUCUUGCCAAAAUUACUCUUUUCAUGUGGAAAAUUUCAGUUGCAGCAAGGGAAUGUCUGGUUCAAAGUUCUUUGGGCAACCCUGUUAAAAAGCAAGAAAAGAAGUUGAAGAAAACAGCAAGCAUUGCUACUCUCCAAAGGUCAAAAAGGAAAACUCGGGGGACCUAAGAAAGAGACAGAAUCAUAUGAUGUCCUCUGAAAUUAUUUGGUACCAGGGAAUGACAGGAAAAAGUAAUCAAGACUACAGACAAGUACCAAUGGUUGGAGAAGCUGAUGAAGAGAAAAGGAUUUAAAGAUAUACGGAGUAUUUUUCCUUUGUCUGUGAUGAAAUGGACCAUCUUUAUAAAAGCAGCAUCCUACCACUUAGGCUCUAUCUACUGAGGAUGGUCAGAAUUGCUUUGAUUUAGGAAAUAAGGGGAAAACCACAGGAACAAGAGGAAAACUAGGUCUGAACAGAACCCCUCUUCUCCUGCACUACAGUAAGGAUUUGAAUUCUAUUCACCAAACCUCUCUAAGGCCAGGUCUAUACUAAAGGGGAAGGUCAAAUUAAGAUACGCAACUCCAGCUAC
Molecule: non-coding RNA, 619 nt
Organism: Pelodiscus sinensis (Chinese soft-shelled turtle)
Lineage: Eukaryota; Metazoa; Chordata; Testudines; Trionychidae
Source: RefSeq, a predicted model, not a curated record